This 253-nucleotide ribosomal RNA is filed under the name uncultured bacterium. RNAcentral's name for it is "partial 16S ribosomal RNA". It matches the Rfam family "Bacterial small subunit ribosomal RNA", at positions 524 to 776 of the family's 1533-position model. The record is from RNAcentral.
UACAGAGGGGGCAAGCGUUAUUCGGAAUUAUUGGGCGUAAAGGGCGCGUAGGCGGCUUUGCAAGUGACGGGUGAAAUCCCUCGGCUUAACCGAGGAACUGCCUGUCAGACUGCAUGGCUUGAGACCAGGAGAGGUGAGUGGAAUUCCCAGUGUAGCGGUGAAAUGCGUAGAUAUUGGGAGGAACACCAGUGGCGAAGGCGGCUCACUGGACUGGUCCUGACACUCAUGAGCGAAAGCGUGGGGAGCGAUCCGG